This 344-nucleotide ribosomal RNA is filed under the name Mantidactylus melanopleura. RNAcentral describes it as "partial 16S ribosomal RNA". It matches the Rfam family "Bacterial large subunit ribosomal RNA", at positions 2089 to 2597 of the family's 2925-position model. The record is from RNAcentral. Lineage: Eukaryota; Metazoa; Chordata; Amphibia; Anura; Mantellidae.
CCCCAUGGAGCUUCAAACCCAACUACACCCCUAGCUCUUAUAGCCCCACAACCCCCCUAGGCACCGUGUGCUUGGUUUUAGGUUGGGGCGACCGCGGAGUACAAUAAAACCUCCACAAUGAAUGGGAACACCCCCUUAUCUGAGGGCCACACCCCCUAAGAAUUAGAACACUAACAUAAAAUGAUCCAUUACUUGAUCAAUGAACCAAGUUACCCUGGGGAUAACAGCGCAAUCCAUUUCAAGAGCCCCUAUCGACAAAUGGGUUUACGACCUCGAUGUUGGAUCAGGGUACCCCAGUGGUGCAGCAGCUACUAACGGUUCGUUUGUUCAACGAUUAAAACCCU